RNAcentral lists this ribosomal RNA (1350 nucleotides) under Triticum aestivum (bread wheat). RNAcentral's name for it is "partial small subunit ribosomal RNA". Lineage: Eukaryota; Viridiplantae; Streptophyta; Magnoliopsida; Poales; Poaceae. The record is from RNAcentral.
AUGAAGAGGAAGAGAGGCGAGCCUGAGCUGGAGUACGGGGCCUCGUCCGGGGUGGAUGAGAGGUCCAACGAGAGCAGCGACAAGAUGCAGGGCCAGCUCCUAGCCACUGCGCGCGGCGCCGACGGGGGCAAUGCCAAGUUCGCGUGGUAUGGCGCUCCAUCGGUGGAUGUGGCCGCGGCGGCGGUGGAGCACGGGUUCGGCAGGAUGAACAACCGGGUCCUUUUCCAUCGCGCGCACGGCGACGACGUCCACCUCUCGCCGCCUCGGUCUCCUUAUGCCAGGUCAGAGGCCAUCCCGGCCGGGUCCUCCAAGCUCCACCCCAAAAGUGACAAUUACGACAAUGCCAUCGACAACAUGCAGAACCCACAGUGGUAUGUUGUUUGGGGCAAGGACAUGAACAUGAGGAUCCUCCCAGAGUACGUCGUCAGCUUCAAGUGUCCCAACCUCCAUCAGAUGCAAGGAUCAUCGGGGGCGAACUCCACGCUAAAGAAGCCUUCGCCGGUGGCUCAUGACAUGUUUCCGACGCUUCUAGCAGAGAUCCAGUGGUUCAUGCCAUCUUCCAAGCUGCAGACAUUGCAGGGGACCUACAAUUGCUUCAAGAAGAAUGUUCUAUCAAAGCAACCAUGUCUGAUAUGUUCACAUGAAUUCUUUCAUGUGGCCGUCCCUCACAUUCCUUUGCUUUCAACUAUUCCAGCCAGCUGCAAUGAAGUCCUCCAUAGAGAAGGGUUUGCAGAAAAUGAUCUUGGCAUCCCAGAUAAGCAGGUCGGGGUCAAAGCCGGUGCCCGGGGGAUUUCAAUGGAUCACCAACACGAGAAACUGAAAAUGGCAGGACCAGAAAAGAUGGUCCCAGAUCUCACUGCAGCCGGAUGCCCAGGCCGCCGCGCUCCGAGCCUGCGCCGGCCGGCUCAUGCGCGCGCCGCCGACCGCGACCGGCUGCUCAACACGCUCCUCGCGGCCGCGGGCAACGACCAGGAGGAGGAGGACGCGCCGGAGGUGGGGCAACGUCAGAAUCAACGCGCUCGGAUCCAGCCGAGGAUUACGGCGACACGGACGCGGAGGCUCCGGCCGCGGCCGCCGCACUCCCUCCGGUCAUCACCUUCCUUCCAGUUUUGUAUGAUUUUAUGCACUCUUUUCAUGGUAUAUAUAUGGGAGUACAGGGAUCCGUGGGACGAGGCCAAGGUGUACGUGCGCAACCUUCCCUACGACGUUAGCAGCGAGCGCCUUGUGCAGCUCUUCGGGCAGGACGUCGUCGUCGAGGUCACCGUGUCGAUAUGUGGUAUUGGUGACAGAAGGUGCAUCACGCGCUUGGGUAUUUUCCUCCGCACGAGGAGAACAAGAUGCAGCUUGUGA